RNAcentral lists this ribosomal RNA (253 nucleotides) under uncultured bacterium. RNAcentral describes it as "partial 16S ribosomal RNA". It matches the Rfam family "Bacterial small subunit ribosomal RNA", at positions 524 to 776 of the family's 1533-position model. The record is from RNAcentral.
UACGAAGGGGGCUAGCGUUGCUCGGAAUUACUGGGCGUAAAGCGCACGUAGGCGGCUUCUUAAGUCAGGGGUGAAAUCCCGAGGCUCAACCUCGGAACUGCCUUUGAUACUGGGGAUCUCGAGUCCGGGAGAGGUGAGUGGAACUGCGAGUGUAGAGGUGAAAUUCGUAGAUAUUCGCAAGAACACCAGUGGCGAAGGCGGCUCACUGGCCCGGUACUGACGCUGAGGUGCGAAAGCGUGGGGAGCAAACAGG